RNAcentral lists this long non-coding RNA (243 nucleotides) under Podarcis lilfordi (Lilford's wall lizard). Lineage: Eukaryota; Metazoa; Chordata; Lepidosauria; Squamata; Lacertidae. The record is from RNAcentral.
CUCUGGGGUUGCGGCACUCAUCUCGCUUUAUUGGCCAAGGGAGCCGGCGUACAGCUUCUGGGUCAUGUGGCCAGCAGGACUAAGCCGCUUCUGGCGAACCAGAGCAGCGCACGGAAACGCCGUUUACCUUCCCGCCGGAGCGGUACCUAUUUAUCUACUUGCACUUUGUGGUGCUUUCGAACUGCUAGGUUGGCAGGAGCAGGGACUGAGCAACGGGAGCUCACCCCGUCGCGGGGAUUCGAA